This 253-nucleotide ribosomal RNA is filed under the name uncultured bacterium. RNAcentral's name for it is "partial 16S ribosomal RNA". It matches the Rfam family "Bacterial small subunit ribosomal RNA", at positions 524 to 776 of the family's 1533-position model. The record is from RNAcentral.
UACGGAGGGUGCAAACGUUUCUCGGAAUCAUUGGGCGUAAAGCGCACGUAGGCGGCCCGGUAAGUCGGAUGUGAAAGCCCUCGGCUCAACUGAGGAAGUGCAUUCGAAACUGCUGGACUUGAGUACGGGAGAGGGAUGCGGAAUUCCCGGUGUAGAAGUGAAAUUCGUAGAUAUCGGGAGGAACACCAGUGGCGAAGGCGGCAUCCUGGACCGAUACUGACGCUGAGGUGCCAAAGCGUGGGGAGCAACCAGG